RNAcentral lists this ribosomal RNA (253 nucleotides) under uncultured bacterium. RNAcentral describes it as "partial 16S ribosomal RNA". It matches the Rfam family "Bacterial small subunit ribosomal RNA", at positions 524 to 776 of the family's 1533-position model. The record is from RNAcentral.
UACGUAGGGUGCGAGCGUUAAUCGGAAUUACUGGGCGUAAAGCGUGCGCAGGCGGUUCGUUGUGUCGGUGGUGAAAGCCCCGGGCUCAACCUGGGAAUGGCCAUGGAAACUGGCGAACUGGAGUGUGGCAGAGGGGGGUGGAAUUCCGCGUGUAGCAGUGAAAUGCGUAGAUAUGCGGAGGAACACCGAUGGCGAAGGCAGUCCCCUGGGCCUGUACUGACGCUCAUGCACGAAAGCGUGGGGAGCAAACAGG